GUGCUCCACAUCUUGUUCCCAUUUAGAAUAUAGCCCCCAUCUGCACGAUCAGCUUUGCAUUUCAUGCUAACAACAUCAGAGCCAGCAUUGGGUUCACUCAUUGCAAGAGCUCCCACAUGCUCUNNNNNNNUUGGCAAGUACUUCUGUUUCUGAGCAGGACUUCCAUUCCUCACCAACUGAUUAAUGCAGAGGUUAGAAUGGGCACCGUAGGAAAGGCCAACAGAUCCUGAAGCACGGCUAAUUUCUUCCAUA
Molecule: unclassified non-coding RNA, 252 nt
Filed under: Hevea brasiliensis (rubber tree)
Lineage: Eukaryota; Viridiplantae; Streptophyta; Magnoliopsida; Malpighiales; Euphorbiaceae
Source: RNAcentral